CCCUACGGGGGGCAGCAGUGGGGAAUAUUGGGCAAUGGGCGCAAGCCUGACCCAGCAACGCCGCGUGAAGGAAGAAGGCUUUCGGGUUGUAAACUUCUUUUGUCAGGGACGAAGCACGUGACGGUACCUGACGAAUCAGCCCCGGCUAACUACGUGCCAGCAGCCGCGGUCCUACGUAGUUGGCACGCGUUAUCCGGCUUUACUGGGUGUAACGGGCGUGUAGGCGGGGAGGCCCGUCCG
RNAcentral lists this ribosomal RNA (240 nucleotides) under uncultured bacterium. RNAcentral's name for it is "partial 16S ribosomal RNA". It matches the Rfam family "Bacterial small subunit ribosomal RNA", at positions 337 to 591 of the family's 1533-position model. The record is from RNAcentral.